ACACACCCCGCACAAGACUCUGUGCGCCCACCUCCUGGAACUGGAUAUGAAAGCCCAAGGGGCCCUUUUCUUGCCCUGUGCAUGGUCCACCAUCCGAAGAAAUGCUGACUAAUGCUGUGCCUGUGAAUGGCAGUGGACGAGAUAAGGAAGAUGGACACCCCAACCUCCCCCCCCCUCCGACCCCCAAGUUCGCGACCCGCUCGACGGACAACCCCAGGCUGACUAACAUGAUGAGGUAUCACCUCCAGAGAAGUCCCCUCCGGUUGGAGGGGCUCCGCCUCGCUACUAGCUUUCCGGUGCCUUGCAGGAAAUGCCGAACCCCACCCUUCCAUGGAUCCCGUCGUGAUCUACAACAAACAUGAAACAUAAUACGCACCCCUUACUGCGCCGCGUCUGUUUCCCGGAAAAACUACUUGGAGCUGAUUGAAUUGUGCUAUCCGUCCUUGAGGUCCCCUCCGAACGCCAAGAGAGCCUAGCCACGAAAACCCGUUCGAUGGUACCGAACUAGUAUUAUAUGGCCUGUAUCUCUCUCCCAACAUCCGGCUGGAACAACCCCCCAGAACUUCCUGCGAAGUUGACCCCUCCAUCACCUCAUCCGAUCGAUUUCAUCCACCUCUCGCCUCCUACCUCCGCACCACCUGAAGUACAUUCUAAGCCCUGGCCCCCAAACCUUGACGGAGAGGGGGGUCGAUAGUCCACUUCUUAAGCAAUAGUCCGGUGGGGGAGAACGGCUAACCCGCACCUUAUAUUGACAUAGGCUAGCAUAUGGAGUACCCUCGUUGAACCAAGGCCCCCCGACCCGCUUUGGCUGAUCGGGGGGUUCCGGGAGCAAAUUCUGGUGGGCGAGUACAGUGGAUCCUAGA
RNAcentral lists this long non-coding RNA (863 nucleotides) under Physcomitrium patens. RNAcentral's name for it is "long non-coding RNA (PPAT_LNC011505)". Lineage: Eukaryota; Viridiplantae; Streptophyta; Bryopsida; Funariales; Funariaceae. The record is from RNAcentral.